This is a non-coding RNA of Pelobates cultripes (western spadefoot toad), 262 nucleotides long. NCBI's taxonomy places the organism in Eukaryota, Metazoa, Chordata, Amphibia, Anura, Pelobatidae. The record is from the annotation of a GenBank genome assembly.
UGUUGACAUUAUAGUUGUGCAGGCACUUUGUUGACUCUAGAGAACCUCGGACCAAUCGCACAUCCCCGUGACGGCGACUUUGCAUUCGGAUGUCAUCCAUAUCAACUUUCGAUGACAGUUUCUUUGCCUACCAUGGUGACCACGGGUAACGGGGAAUCAGGGUUACAUUCCGUACAGGGACCCUGAGAAACCGCUACCACAUGCAAGGAAGGCAGCAGGCGCGCAAAUGCCUCACUCCCGAUGCGGAAAGGUAGUGACGACA